AGGUGAUAUAUUGAAAAAUGGUAUAUGUAAUUAAUAUUAUUUUAAGGAUUAUAAAUCAAAAUUUAUAAAUGAUAAAAAGAUUAACUAAAAAGUAAUCAAUCAUAAUCAUGAAAAUGAUAAAAAAUAAAAACAAGUGGAAUGAAACAUCUGAGUAACUUGUAAAAUAACCAACAGGGAUAAUAUAAGUAACGGUGAGUGAAAGUAUUAGAAUCUUAAAGUAUUACCAAGAGGUAAGAAUAAAGUAGUUUCCAACUACUAAGAAAAAAAAAUAAAUUUUAGAUUAAAGUACCGCAAGGGAAAGUAAGAAAAUAGAAUAAUAAAGAGCAAUCAUUGAAUGGUUUACCUCUUGUAUAAUGGGCCAGUGAGUUAUAUAUUUUAGUGAGAUUAAAUUCGAAUAUAAAUAGAAAUUAAUUAAAGUAUAUAGGCCCGAAAGCAAACGAUCUACACAUGCCCAAGUGUAUAUAAAACCUUAUAAGGUAUAUAUAUGACUCAAUAGGUAAUUGUAGCAAUAAUUUCUAAAGAGGUGUGUGUAGCUGUGACAGACAAAUCUGGUUUGCAGAUAGCUGGUUUUCUGCGAAAUAUAUUUUAGUAUAGCCUUUAUAAUCUGUUUUAAAUAACAGACAUUUAAACUGGUACAGCACUUAAAUACCUUUGGGGAAUUAGAAUAUAAUUUUAUCAAAAUAUUUAAACCUCGGAAUCAGUGAAUAAUGAAAUAUAAGGAGUCAGACUUAUUGCGAUAAGGUAGUAAGUCGAGAAGGAAACAACCUAGACUAUUAAAUGAAUGUCCCAAAUAUUAAUUAAGUGAAUAAAAUCUAUCCUACUUUAAUUUUUAUAAAAAUCAAAAGUUAAAAUCAUAUGAUUUUACAUUAUUAUAUAUAUAUACCGGCCUUCGGCCGGCAUUUAUAAACCUAAUCUUUAGGCCAUAAUAUACGGGGUAUUAAAUUAUAGACAAUUAGUAAGUGGGUUUGACAAUAAUCAACUUUUAAUGAACAUGUAACAAUGCACUAAUUUUAUAUAUAUAUAUAUUUUUUUUAUAUAUAUAUUUAUUAAUAAUAGAGAAAAUAUAUCGGGUCUAAAUUAAUAACAGUAUUAUAGAUAUAAUCAUAAAGAUUAUAUGGUAGCAGAAUAUAUAAUGGAAAAUUAUAAAGAGAUUGCUGGCUUGAGUAACGAUAGAUAAUAUAAGAUUAUCCCCUUAUUCAUAAGGUUUUACUAUAAACGAACGGUCCCUAAGAUUAAUAUAGAAAUAUAUAAUUAAUGGGUAAAAGAACAGGAAAAUAAAAAUGAACCGUACUGUAGACCGACACAGGUAUGAUAAAAAGGGAAUGGGAUAACUACUUUGAAUGAACUCGGCAAAAUAAAUCGUGCGACUGUUUACCAAAAACAUAGCUUAUUGCAUACUAGUAAUAGUAAGUAUAAUAAGUGAUAUCUGCCCGGUGUUAGUUUAAUAAAUAUUAUUAUUGUUUAGAUAAUUUUAUAAAAGACUGAUAAACGGCGGUCUUAUUGUGAGGAUCCGAAGGUAGCGGUGCGACAAGUUAAGUUCAUAAUAAGAAUAAGGUGAAAAUCCUUUACAAUUGUCAUAUUUGUAAACCUAACUCAACAUGCAUUUUAAGUAAUUAUUUUGUAUGAAGCUUGAGUGACAACGGCUAUAAACUUUAACUGAUAUAAGUGAUCUAGUCUAGGUUAGAACAACAUGAUUAGUAUAAACUAAAUAGUGUAUUAAAAUCUCGUUAUAGGUAAGUAACUUGUUCAGUAUUUGGUUACUUUAUGAUUAAAAUAAUAUUGACGCUACGAAUAUUAUUAUAUGACUGAAAUAAUAAAAUAUAAUCAUCGGGAUAUAGCUAUAAUCUAAAUUGUUCAUAAAAGUCUUAUUAUGGAAACUUGGUAAGCCUUAUACAUACCUAAUUUAAAUACCCCGCAUAUGCGGGGUUAUAUUUAGGAAGUAAUAUAUAAUAUUAAUGAUCUCCCCGCCCACCAAAGGUGGGCGGGCUUUAUUUAAUAGAAAUUAUUAUAUAGUGUAGAAGGUAAAGGAUAAAUAUAAAAAGCUAAUGAUUUUAUGUAAUGUAAAAUAUAAAGUUAUUUAACUUAUUUCGAAAGAAAGCUGACUUAUAUAUAAGGCCAUUAAAAAAAUAAUAUAACAUUAUAAAUAAACGGUUUCCUUUAAGGGGCCCUUGUUUAUAAAAAGUUAUAUUAUAUUUAAGAUAAAAUAAUCAAGAUGAAAUCUUGAUGAUUAGGGGGCCUACGGCCCCCCAUUAUGCCUACUAUAUAAAAAAAUAGAUAUCUAUUUUUUUAUGGAUAUAAGUAUAAUAGGGAAAUCUUAAAAAAUGGUUUGAGCCGUAUGCGAUGAAAGUCGCACGUACGGUUCUUAAGGGGGGAAAGCUUGAGAGGGCCUACCUAUCCUAACAAAUUCAUUGACGUAUAAUUGACGUCCUGCAUGAAUGAAUAUACGAUGCGAUAACUGUAUCCAAAGUAGACUCAGUGAAAUAGCAAUUGCGGUGAAAUUAGUACUAUAAUAUAUCUAUAUUAUACGCCGGGUUGGUGAAAAUCCAACUUUAUAGUUAAAAUACCCCCGCGAAGCGGGGGGGAUUUAAAAGUAUUAAAGAAUUAUCCGGUAUUUUCCGACAUAAUAAUUCAAAAAAAAGAAUACAAUCGAAUAAUACUUAAUCCUUUAAAUGGGAUAAAUUACCCCCCCCCCGAAGGGGGGGGUGAUUAAUCCUCGGCUACGCCGAAGGAUAAAUUACAAAAGGCAAAAUGUAAUUUUAUAACUAUAAAUAAAAAGGUGAAAACGGUUAAUGAUAUCUUAGUUAAAGACCGUCGGCAGUUGUAUAUGUCGCUACAGACUGGUUCACCGAGGUUAGACUGAAAUGUCUGUCUAAAUGUACAGUCGGAUUCUGUAAUAUAAUAGAUAAAUAUAUGGGCCCGCCUUCGGCGGGCCUAAUGAUAUAUUUAUUUUUAUAUAAAGGUGAAAGAUUUAUCUAUUAUUUAGAUAUAACUUAUUAGUACAUAAGUAAGAAACCUUUGUAGGUCAAACCUACUUAAGUUAAUCAGAAUUGGAAGAUGCCGUAUAUCCGUAGGUUGACAAAAAGACCCUAUGCAGCUUUACUAUAUCUUUAUUUUGAUUUUUUAAUCAUAAUAUAUUAUGAUUAACCCUUUUUUUAUUUAUUUCAGCAGAUUAGGUUAUAUUUAUAUUUUAAAUCAAAUGAGAUACCUAUAUAAAUAAAAAAAGAAUCUAAUUAAUAUAGUCAAAAUUCAAUAAAAAUUGAAUUACCCUUAAAAAGGGUUAUUAAUAAACUAAUGACUUAAGUUUUAACUUAUUUAAGAAAGAGUAAAGAGGUUAGUUUCGAUGGGGCGUCGACAUCAGCGAAAGCAUCUGAUGUGUCUAAUAACAAAGAUCUUGAAUAUCAAGACUAAAUGUUUAAUUAAAUUAUUUAUUUAAUAGUAAAUAACGUACAAUAAUUCUAUAUGGUAAAUAGAAUAAAAAGAUAUGAUAGGAAUUACCUAUCUUUAAAUUUUAUCUUAUCCCCGCUAAGCUUAGCGGGGUAUAUAAGUAAGGAUAACAACAUAAUUGUGCGAUGAUAAUAACACAAACAAGUGGAAUUAGUACUUACGUAGAGUGUAGUGAACAGGCAUAAACAAAUGGUAUGGAUGUCGAUAACGGAUUAAAGUUACGCUAGGGAUUAAAUGUUAGUUCCUUUAUAUAAUAAAUUAUAUAUUAUCUCCGCGAUAGUGAGAUAGCCCUCUAAUGAGGGAAUAUUAAUUGGGUGAAUAACAAAAAACUCUUUAUCAAUAUAAAGACAAUUUGUAACGAAGUAUAUAUUAGUUUUAAUAAGAUAUAUAAACGUUCAACGACUAGUAAUUGAGUAAACUAACAAUAAUAUUACCACGAGCGCCCAAUACCUAAUUUACCCCCCGCCUGAAGAGGCGGGAUAUAAAAUGGGCCCCGAAGGGGCCCAUGAUUAUUUAAUUAAUCUUUAUAUUUUAUAUUUCUUUAAUGCCCCUUUGGGGUAUUUUAUAUUUUAAAUGAUAAUGAUUUUUUAUAUAUGGGCAUUAAGGUAAAGACAUAGUCUGAACUAUAUAGUGAUAUAUAGAAGUUGUAAUUAAAAAAGCAACAAUAACAAAAUUGAACAGGGUAAUACCGCGUGAGAGUUGAUAUCGUCAGCGGUGUUUGCCACCUCGAUGUCGUCUAGACUCGUCCUCCUGGUCGCAGCAACUAGGUAGGGUAGGACUGUUCGUCCUCUAAGGAGUUACUUGAGAUGGGUUAAUUACGACGUGAGUCAGUAAUGAUUUUAUCAUCUAUGGAUUUUUUUCUUAUCUGUUGCCUUAAGUGUACGCAAGGAUAAUAAGGUACAUUCCUAUGGUUAAUUAUUUAAUUUAGCUAAGAAUGUUGUGUUUACAUAUUGAAUGCAUAUCAAAUAUUAAAUCCUUCAGAUAAGUUUAUACAUUAUAGACUAUAAUGUUUUAGUUAAUUUGUGAUUUUCGCAUAUUUUCUAAUUAAUUUAUUUAUAAUAUUUAUAUUAUAAAUUUUAAUACAUAUACCU
This 4535-nucleotide ribosomal RNA is filed under the name Metschnikowia bowlesiae. The record is from RNAcentral. Lineage: Eukaryota; Fungi; Ascomycota; Pichiomycetes; Serinales; Metschnikowiaceae.